This 114-nucleotide ribosomal RNA is filed under the name Lepisosteus oculatus (spotted gar). The record is from RNAcentral. Lineage: Eukaryota; Metazoa; Chordata; Actinopteri; Semionotiformes; Lepisosteidae.
GCCAGCAGCCAUAUCACCCUGCAACUCACAACUGGCAACCCACUGAAUCAGGUGUGAGCCUGAUCAGUACCUGGAUGGGAGACUCCCUGGGAAAAACUAAGGCUGCUGCUGGAA